AGGGGUAUAGUUCAAUGGUAGAGCAACGGUCUCCAAAACCGUAAAUGUGGGUUCAAAUCCUGCUACCCCUG
Molecule: transfer RNA, 71 nt
Filed under: Terribacillus aidingensis
Lineage: Bacteria; Bacillati; Bacillota; Bacilli; Caryophanales; Bacillaceae
Also listed under: 1 other name
Rfam family: tRNA
About the family: Transfer RNA (tRNA) molecules are approximately 80 nucleotides in length. Their secondary structure includes four short double-helical elements and three loops (D, anti-codon, and T loops).
Source: Rfam by way of RNAcentral